Oncorhynchus masou masou (cherry salmon) is the source of this 1341-nucleotide long non-coding RNA. RefSeq lists it as uncharacterized. The transcript has 3 exons. Lineage: Eukaryota; Metazoa; Chordata; Actinopteri; Salmoniformes; Salmonidae. The record is from RefSeq and is a predicted model, not a curated record.
CACACACACACACACACACACACACACACACACACACACACACACACACACACACACACACACACACACACACACAGUUACACACGACACGUUUACUGGUAGUACUGCGUAUGGGAAAAAUGAAGUUAGCCUCCCCCUCAGAAACCACAGAGAAGACCAGUCGUCUCUCAGUGGUAUCAGCAGUCUUUUAUGUCUUUAUGGUUUGUAGUACUGAGAGAGAGACACAUUCUCCCUGCCUGGUGAAACCAAGCUGUGUGGCCCAAAUGGUGUUAAAGGGCAGAUAAUAAAGUUAAUAAUAAUAAAGGCCUACUAGGGUUUUGGAAGGAACUGUCAUAAGACUGGGAGUGUGUAGGUGUGAUUGUGUAAAGGAGGGAGAGAGAUAGAGGAAGAGACUGGGAGUGUGUAGGUGUGAUUGAGUAAAGGAGGGAGAGAGAUAGAGGAAGAGAAUGGGAGUGUGUAGGUGUGAUUGAGUAAAGGAGGGAGAGAGAUAGAGGAAGAGACUGGGAGUGUGUAGGUGUGAUUGAGUAAAGGAGGGAGAGAGAUAGAGGAAGAGAAUGGGAGUGUGUAGGUGUGAUUGAGUAAAGGAGGGAGAGAGAUAGAGGAAGAGAAUGGGAGUGUGUAGGUGUGAUUGAGUAAAGGAGGGAGAGAGAUAGAGGAAGAGAAUGGGAGUGUGUAGGUGUGAUUGAGUAAAGGAGGGAGAGAGAUAGAGGAAGAGAAUGGGAGUGUGUAGGUGUGAUUGAGUAAAGGAGGGAGAGAGAUAGAGGAAGAGAAUGGGAGUGUGUAGGUGUGAUUGAGUAAAGGAGGGAGAGAGAUAGAGGAAGAGAAUGGGAGUGUGUAGGUGUGAUUGAGUAAAGGAGGGAGAGAGAUAGAGGAAGAGAAUGGGAGUGUGUAGGUGUGAUUGAGUAAAGGAGGGAGAGAGAUAGAGGAAGAGAAUGGGAGUGUGUAGGUGUGAUUGAGGAAAGGAGGGAGAGAGAUAGAGGAAGAGAAUGGGAGUGUGUAGGUGUGAUUGAGUAAAGGAGGGAGAGAGAUAGAGGAAGAGAAUGGGAGUGUGUAGGUGUGAUUGAGUAAAGGAGGGAGAGAGAUAGAGGAAGAGAAUGGGAGUGUGUAGGUGUGAUUGAGUAAAGGAGGGAGAGAGAUAGAGGAAGAGAAUGGGAGUGUGUAGGUGUGAUUGAGUAAAGGAGGGAGAGAGAUAGAGGAAGAGAAUGGGAGUGUGUAGGUGUGAUUGAGUAAAGGAGGGAGAGAGAUAGAGGAAGAGAGUGGGACAGACACACACACACACACACACACACAUAGUUGAGUGAAAGGUGCUGUGUCUAAUGGUGCAGACCUCUCUAUUUAACA